AACGCUAGCUACAGGCUUAACACAUGCAAGUCCUGGGGCAGCAUCAUCAAAGCUUGCUUUGAUGGAUGGCGACCGGCGCACGGGUGAGUAACACGUAUCCAACCUGCCGACAACACUGGGAUAGCCUUUCGAAAGAAAGAUUAAUACCGGAUGGCAUAGUUUUCCCGCAUGGGAUAAUUAUUAAAGAAUUUCGGUUGUCGAUGGGGAUGCGUUCCAUUAGGCAGUUGGCGGGGUAACGGCCCACCAAACCUACGAUGGAUAGGGGUUCUGAGAGGAAGGUCCCCCACAUUGGAACUGAGACACGGUCCAAACUCCUACGGGAGGCAGCAGUGAGGAAUAUUGGUCAAUGGACGAGAGUCUGAACCAGCCAAGUAGCGUGAAGGAUGACUGCCCUAUGGGUUGUAAACUUCUUUUAUACGGGAAUAAAGUGAGCCACGUGUGGCUUUUUGUAUGUACCGUAUGAAUAAGGAUCGGCUAACUCCGUGCCAGCAGCCGCGGUAAUACGGAGGAUUCGAGCGUUAUCCGGAUUUAUUGGGUUUAAAGGGAGCGUAGGCGGGUUGUUAAGUCAGUUGUGAAAGUUUGCGGCUCAACCGUAAAAUUGCAGUUGAUACUGGCGACCUUGAGUGCAACAGAGGUAGGCGGAAUUCGUGGUGUAGCGGUGAAAUGCUUAGAUAUCACGAAGAACUCCGAUUGCGAAGGCAGCUUACUGGAUUGUAACUGACGCUGAUGCUCGAAAGUGUGGGUAUCAAACAGGAUUAGAUACCCUGGUAGUCCACACAGUAAACGAUGAAUACUCGCUGUUGGCGAUAUACAGUCAGCGGCCAAGCGAAAGCAUUAAGUAUUCCACCUGGGGAGUACGCCGGCAACGGUGAAACUCAAAGGAAUUGACGGGGGCCCGCACAAGCGGAGGAACAUGUGGUUUAAUUCGAUGAUACGCGAGGAACCUUACCCGGGCUUAAAUUGCAACUGACGGAACCGGAAACGGUUCUUUCUUCGGACAGUUGUGAAGGUGCUGCAUGGUUGUCGUCAGCUCGUGCCGUGAGGUGUCGGCUUAAGUGCCAUAACGAGCGCAACCCUUACGGGUAGUUACCAUCAGGUUAUGCUGGGGACUCUACCCGGACUGCCGUCGUAAGAUGUGAGGAAGGUGGGGAUGACGUCAAAUCAGCACGGCCCUUACGUCCGGGGCUACACACGUGUUACAAUGGGGGGUACAGAAGGCAGCUACACGGCGACGUGGUGCUAAUCCCAAAAGCCUCUCUCAGUUCGGAUUGGAGUCUGCAACCCGACUCCAUGAAGCUGGAUUCGCUAGUAAUCGCGCAUCAGCCACGGCGCGGUGAAUACGUUCCCGGGCCUUGUACGCACCGCCCGUCAAGCCAUGAAAGCCGGGGGUACCUGAAGUACGUAACCGCGAGGAGCGUCCUAGGGUAAAAC
Molecule: ribosomal RNA, 1431 nt
Filed under: uncultured organism
Description: 16S ribosomal RNA
Rfam family: Bacterial small subunit ribosomal RNA
Source: RNAcentral